Molecule: ribosomal RNA, 468 nt
Filed under: uncultured bacterium
Lineage: Bacteria
Description: partial 16S ribosomal RNA
Rfam family: Bacterial small subunit ribosomal RNA
Source: RNAcentral
GACGAACGCUGGCGGCGUGCUUAACACAUGCAAGUCGAACGGAAAGGCCCUGCUUUUGUGGGGUGCUCGAGUGGCGAACGGGUGAGUAACACGUGAGUAACCUGCCCUUGACUUUGGGAUAACUUCAGGAAACUGGGGCUAAUACCGGAUAGGAGCUCCUGCUGCAUGGUGGGGGUUGGAAAGUUUCGGCGGUUGGGGAUGGACUCGCGGCUUAUCAGCUUGUUGGUGGGGUAGUGGCUUACCAAGGCUUUGACGGGUAGCCGGCCUGCGAGGGUGACCGGCCACAUUGGGACUGAGCUACGGCACAGACUCCUACGGGAGGCAGCAGUGGGGAAUAUUGCACAAUGGGCGGAAGCCUGAUGCAGCAACGCCGCGUGCGGGAUGACGGCCUUCGGGUUGUAAACCGCUUUCGCCUGUGACGAAGCGUGAGUGACGGUAAUGGGUAAAGAAGCACCGGCUAACUACGUG